UCUCUUUAUCUCUUAGUAGUAUAUAUAGAUAUUAGAGCUUCCUUAAAAGCUUCUGAUCUGAACUCUGAGCACUGAAAUUUAUAGAGAAGAAGACUGAAGAAAACCCAUCCAGAAAAGGAAGGAAAACUAUUUGAAGAAGAAAUCAGAAUCGGCAAUCGGAUUAUUGACGGAUGCAAAGGUGUUAAUGCGGUGUAUUUGGUUGGAGUUGGUGGAUUUAGCAACUCGAAAAGACUUCCAUCUUUAUAAGGCGCACUUCUCAAAGUUAUUGUUCGAAGUUGGUUGAUUUUAGCAGCUUGAAAAGACUCUUAAUAAAUUGCUUUUGUCAAGUUCUUCAUGUCCAUUGCUUUUGGGUGCAAACUUGCUCAAAAUUCUCCAGAGAUAACGAGGGGUUUUGGUAUCCUGUUCUAACCGUGCUACAUUGAGCUACAGUCUACAGUUGGAGCUGCAGCUGCUACAUAGAAAAGCUGUGUGGUCGGAACUUGGAACUUCACUGGUUGGAUUGUGAGCUUGUUCAUGUCAAAUGGGUUGCUAAGUGAUGCUGUAGUGCUAGUUUACUGCGAUCUCUGGGCUUGCUAACCAUUUAAAUCAAAUAAUGGAGUCUGAAACUCUGACUAGAGAAUAUAGGCAGCCCAGCAUGCUUCAGCGAGUACUUUCUGCUUCUGUGCCAAUGCUGUUGAUUGCAGUUGGCUAUGUUGAUCCUGGGAAAUGGGCUGCAAUGGUUGAUGGAGGAGCCCGAUUUGGGUUUGAUUUGGUCAUGCUAGUACUCUUGUUCAAUUUUGCUGCCAUUCUGUGCCAGUAUCUGUCUGCUUGUAUAGCCUUGGUUACAGACCGAGAUCUUGCGCAGAUUUGCAGUGAAGAAUAUGACAAAGUUACAUGCAUAUUCCUAGGAAUUCAAGCUGAGGUUUCGAUGAUUGCUUUGGACCUCACAAUGGUUUUGGGCACUGCCCAUGGGCUUAAUGUUGUGUUUGGAGUUGACCUGUUUAGCUGUGUUUUCCUGACUGCAACCGGUGCCAUUUUGUUUCCACUGCUUGCUUCUCUCUUUGACAAUGGCAGUGCAAAAUUCUUAUGUAUUGGCUGGGCAAGCUCUGUACUGCUCUCUUAUGUUUUUGGAGUGGUUAUAACUCUACCUGAAACUCCAUUCUCCAUUGGUGGUGUGCUGAAUAAGUUUAGUGGAGAGAGUGCAUUUGCAUUGAUGAGUCUUCUUGGAGCAAGUAUUAUGCCUCACAAUUUUUACCUCCAUUCUUCUAUUGUACAGCAAGGUAAGGAAUCAACAGAGCUUUCCAGGGGAGCUCUGUGUCAGGACCAUUUUUUUGCCAUUGUUUUCAUAUUCAGUGGCAUUUUCCUGGUCAACUAUGCCGCGAUGAAUUCAGCAGCGAAUGUGUCUUACAGUACUGGCCUUUUGUUGCUGACAUUUCAGGACACAUUGUCAUUGCUCGAUCAGGUUUUCAGAAGCUCAGUUGCACCAUUCACCAUAAUGCUGGUUACAUUUAUUUCCAAUCAAGUUACACCACUAACUUGGGAUCUUGGUAGACAAGCAGUUGUGCAUGACUUAUUUGGAAUGGACAUCCCAGGCUGGCUUCAUCAUGUGACGAUCAGAGUUAUUUCCAUUGUCCCAGCUCUUUAUUGUGUAUGGAGUUCAGGAGCUGAAGGCCUAUAUCAGUUACUUAUACUGACACAGGUUGUGGUGGCUCUUGUCCUUCCAUCUUCUGUCAUACCCCUGUUCAGAGUUGCUUCUUCCAGAUCAAUUAUGGGUAUCCACAAAAUUUCUCAGUUAAUGGAGUUCUUAUCUCUUGGCACAUUUAUUGGCUUACUUGGCCUAAAGAUUAUAUUUGUCAUAGAGAUGAUAUUUGGAAAUAGUGAUUGGGUUAAUAAUUUGAAGUGGAAUAUUGGGAGUAGUGUGUCUACUCCAUAUUUUUUUCUCCUCAUCGCAGCCUCUUUAUGUCUUUGUCUGAUGCUGUGGUUAGCAGUUACUCCUCUGAAAUCUGCAAGUUCCAGGUUCGAUGCUCAGGCGUUUCUGCAAACGCAUGUGCCUGAGCCAUAUUCGGAGUGUAAUCAACUUGGUGCGAGUAAUGCUAUGUUUGGUCUAGUAGAAGGAUCCUCCCAAAAGCAAGAAGGUGCAUUUCAUGUGGAAAAAUCCUUGGUAAGCCAUCCAGAUUUAUCAACUAAAGAUCCUGAUCAACUCUUGCCAGAAUCUCUCUUGGAUUUUGAAAAGGUCCAUCAGUUGGCUACUAUUGAUGAGAGCAAAUCUGAAACAACAUUUUCAGCUCCUGCUGUCGUUCAUCCUGAGGUACCUGUAUCAGCAGGAGCAAGUCCCAGUGUGAAAAGUGUUUGUAAUGAGGUUUCUGGUGUUGUAUCAGUGGAUACCAGUGUCUUCAAUACUGAAACUGUGGAUGUCGCAGAGAAGACUCUCAGAAUUGAAGGGGACAUGGCAAAUGACAGGGAUGAUGGAGAUUCGUGGGAAGAGCCUGAAGAGGCAAUCAAAGGAGUAUCUGAGAACGCUCAAUCUUUUAUUUCUGAUGGUCCGGGGUCAUACAAAAGUCUAAGUGGAAAACUAGAGGACACGGGGAGUGGUACAGGAAGUCUAUCAAGAUUAGCAGGUCUUGGUCGUGCAGCUAGGAGGCAGUUAACAGAAGCUCUAAAUGAGUUUUGGGGGCAGCUUUUUGAUUACCAUGGCGUGGCAACAGCAGAAGCGAAGUCCAAGAAACUGGAUAUAAUACUUGGUCUGGAUUCAAAGAUGAAUCCAAAACCUGCCCCUGCAUCAUUAAAAGUUGAAAGCAGUGCGUAUAUUCCAUCGGGGAGUGCAAGGAUACCAGAGCCUCUGAUCAACUCGCAUGUGUACUCUCCCAAGCAGCAAUUUGCGUCAAACAUUGUGGACUCUGCUUAUAGAGUCCCAAAGGAGCCAUCUUCGACAUCUUCUAUGUGGUCUAACCAUAUGAAAUUAGUAGGUGCAUAUGUGCAAAGUUCCAACAGCAACAUGCUUGACUCAGGGGAGAGGCGCUAUUCUAGUAUGCGGAUUCCAGCGACUUCUGCUGGCUAUGAUCAGCAGCCUGCCACUGUGCAUGGAUAUCAGAUUACUGCUUACCUUAAUCAACUUGCGAAAGAAAGAGGAUCUGAUUAUUUAAAUGGGCAACUGGAGUCACCAUCUCCUCGUUCUGUAUCAUCACUGACGUCAAACUAUGCAGAACCAUUGGCUCGUGUUUCGGGGCAAAAACCUCAGAGUGGAGUCAGUAGUCGAGCACCACCUGGUUUUGGAAAUGUCCCUGUAGGCCGAAAUAAUUCGAUGCAGCCCACUAACACUACUUCCGUCGACCAUAGCUCUACUGAAACUGCUGAAAGCGUGGCUGGUUCAGCCAACUCUAAGAAGUACUACAGCUUGCCUGAUAUCUCAGGGCGCUAUGUUCCUCGCCAAGAUUCUAUAGUGUCAGAUGCGAGAGCUCAAUGGUACAAUUCCAUGGGAUUCGGACAAUCUGGUGGUCGAUCUACAUACGAACAAGCCUAUAUGAGUGGUUCACUAAGGGCAGGUGGUCCUCAGAGGUAUGAACAUUCUCCUAAAGUCUGCAGAGAUGCAUUCUCCUUGCAGUACAGCUCCAAUUCAGGGACUGGAUCCCUGUGGUCUAGACAGCCUUUUGAGCAAUUUGGUGUAGCUGGUAAGCCAGAUGUUGGUAGUGGCGAUCAUGGAACUGUGCAGAGUUCCUCUGCUCAAGAGAGUACAUCUACGGUUGACUUGGAAGCUAAGCUGCUUCAGUCUUUCAGAAGUUGUAUUGUGAAACUUUUGAAACUGGAAGGAUCUGAGUGGUUAUUUAGGCAAGAUGAUGGGGCUGAUGAGGAUCUUAUAGGUCGGAUUGCUGCAAGAGAGAAAUUUCUCUAUGAAGCUGAAACUAGGGAGAUAAGUAGAUUGACCAACAUUGGUGAAUCACACUUCUCUUCCAACAGGAAACCCGGUUCUGCCCCAAAACCUGAAGAGAUGGAUUACACCAAGUUCUUGGUGAUGUCAGUUCCCCACUGCGGAGAAGGUUGUGUUUGGAAAGUAGAUCUGAUUAUAAGCUUCGGUGUGUGGUGCAUUCACAGAAUUCUUGAGCUUUCACUUAUGGAAAGUAGGCCAGAGUUGUGGGGCAAAUAUACCUAUGUUCUCAACCGUCUUCAGGGCAUAGUAGAUCUGGCAUUUUCAAAGCCCCAUUCUCCGACGAGCCAUUGUUUUUGUCUUCAAAUUCCGGCUGGCCGCCAGCAAAAGGCAAGCCCCCCUCCAAUUUCUAAUGGAAACUUGCCGCCACAAGCAAAACAGGGUCGAGGAAAAUGCACGACUGCAGCAAUGCUCUUAGAGAUGAUCAA
RNAcentral lists this unclassified non-coding RNA (4329 nucleotides) under Hevea brasiliensis (rubber tree). Lineage: Eukaryota; Viridiplantae; Streptophyta; Magnoliopsida; Malpighiales; Euphorbiaceae. The record is from RNAcentral.